This is a long non-coding RNA of Brassica napus (rape), 599 nucleotides long. RefSeq lists it as uncharacterized. NCBI's taxonomy places the organism in Eukaryota, Viridiplantae, Streptophyta, Magnoliopsida, Brassicales, Brassicaceae. The transcript has 2 exons. The record is from RefSeq and is a predicted model, not a curated record.
AUUAUAUCCAUUCGGUUUAUAUGGUAUAUACCAAAACCAAACCAUAUUGUCUAUUUCGAUUCGGUUCGGUUCGGUACGGUUCGGUUUUACCAUAUUGAACAGCCUAAUUUUGUGUGAAAACUUUUUUUGACUGUUAUUUUCUGAAUUUAUUAGCUCGUUUUGGUUCUUUCUCUUGGUUAAAUUUGUCAAUUACGGUUUAGUUAUAUCUCUGGUUUGGAUUUGUCUAUUUGAAUUUUGAACAAGCCUUUUAGCCGGUUUGGUUUGGGGAAGUAAUCAAUCCAAAAAAAGAAACAUUCAUCUUCGCGUUUUUUUCUCUCUCUAUCAAGGCAUCAAUCAUCUUCAUUGUUCAUCACCACCUCUGAGUCAGAACUCGAAGGGAUUGAUAGGACUAUUCUAAUGUGGACCUUGAAGCUGCUAGAGAACAAAAGGAAGCUUGCAUUGUUUAAAGGGACAUCAGCAGAUGAUGAAGGCGUCAAGUUCUCUGUCUGAAUGCUACUCUCUGUAUAAACGUUUUGGGAGUUUGAAUAUAUCUUAUGAACCCAAACGGAUAAACAACUUUUUAUUUUAUUUCUAUAAUAGCAUUCAUUCUCUAGUCACAA